CAAGCGCCUGACCGUGCAGGGCUUCAUCUUCACCGACUUCAAUGAUCAGCGUGAGGCAGCGAUGGCCGAUCUCCAGUCAUGGGUGAAGGCCGGCAAGAUCAAGGUGCAGGAAGACAUCAUCAACGGCUUGGAAAACACGCCGAACGCGCUGAUCGGACUUCUCGCCGGCGAGAAUCGCGGCAAGCNNNNNNNNNNNCGACCACGGAUUCAUUCCGUUCAAAAAUGCAUGUGCCACCACCCCACAAACGCAUAACGCCGAUGAGGUGAGUGGCACGUACAUUGCUGUGUUUUCUCCAACCAUGGAGAAAACCGGCAUGAGUCUCACCACCGAUCUCAAGGCAAACAACGCACGCUGGAUUCAACUGUUGCUGGGCGUCAUCGCGAUGAUGGCGAUCUCCAGCCCGCAAUACGU
Molecule: unclassified non-coding RNA, 412 nt
Filed under: Hevea brasiliensis (rubber tree)
Lineage: Eukaryota; Viridiplantae; Streptophyta; Magnoliopsida; Malpighiales; Euphorbiaceae
Source: RNAcentral